Molecule: long non-coding RNA, 702 nt
Organism: Apis mellifera (honey bee)
Lineage: Eukaryota; Metazoa; Arthropoda; Insecta; Hymenoptera; Apidae
Exons: 3
Source: RefSeq, a predicted model, not a curated record
UCGUUUUUUGCCGUCACGUUUAAUCACGUUAUUUUCUAACAGAUAUUCUAUAAAUUUGUAUUUUGUAAAUCAUAUAAAUUGGUAUAUGUAUAGAUAUACACACAUAUUAUUAAUAUAUAUUUAAAAUAUAAUUUAUAAAAGUAUAAAUAAAUUUAAUGCAUAAUUUCAAAAGAUUGGUGGAAAUGGACAAUGUGGAAAUUAUAAUGGUCAAAUCUCGUGAUUUGUGUUGUAAAAACUGUAAAUACUGUGAUGGAAUAUUUAGAAAGAUUCUGGUAAAAAAAGGAAAUUCAUGAACCUAAGCACAUGUGAACUUAUUAUGAGCACAAUUGCUCAAUUUUUUCUGUAGAAGAUAAAGUCGAGAUAAAGGUCCGAGCUAUCGUGUGGAUUUGUUCAAUUGCCAUUAAUAAAUUUGUAAUAAUUUGUAAUGAAAUGACAACAUUCAUUUCAUUAAAAUCCACUGCGUUAUGUUUUCUUGUGAAAAUGGUGAAGGAAGUUUUGACUCUAAUCUUCUUAAAUGUGAUUGGCAUGAUGAAAUUAAAUAGAAGUUUGAAAAUGUAUGGUAAGCGAUAUGUAAUUGAAGAAAUGAGUCAUGGAAAAAAUUGAAGAUAAAUUUAUGAGCGAAAAUAAAUAUAAAUCUGAGGAUAUCUUCGUUAACAGUAUUCCUACGUAUUUAGAAGCAUUGAAAAAAAAAAAAAAAGAAAA